GCUAGUGUAGCAGAGCCUGGCUAAUGCAAAAGACUUAAACCCUUUACCCCAGAGGUUCAAAUCCUCUCUCUAGCA
RNAcentral lists this transfer RNA (75 nucleotides) under Eolophus roseicapilla (galah). RNAcentral describes it as "Eolophus roseicapillus (galah) tRNA-Leu". It matches the Rfam family "tRNA". Rfam says of the family: Transfer RNA (tRNA) molecules are approximately 80 nucleotides in length. Their secondary structure includes four short double-helical elements and three loops (D, anti-codon, and T loops). Lineage: Eukaryota; Metazoa; Chordata; Aves; Psittaciformes; Cacatuidae. The record is from RNAcentral.